GUCCGCCAGAGAACUACAAGCGAAAAGCCUAAAACUCAAAAGACUUGGCGGUGCCCCACACCCGACUUAGAGGAGCCUGUCCUAUAACCGAUAAUCCACGAUAAACCCGACCGCUUUUUGCCCAACCCAGCCUAUAUACCGCCGUCGCAAACCUACCUCACAAGAGAACCAUCGUAGGUAAAAUAGUCCAACACUAAAACGUCAGGUCAAGGUGUAGCUAAUAAAGCGGAAGAGAUGGGCUACAUUCUUUAACGCUAAAGCAAAACAAAAAGAACCCUGAAAAGUCUUCCAAAAGGUGGAUUUAACAGUAA
This 311-nucleotide ribosomal RNA is filed under the name Eurolophosaurus nanuzae. Its description in RNAcentral is "partial 12S ribosomal RNA". It matches the Rfam family "Bacterial small subunit ribosomal RNA", at positions 867 to 1341 of the family's 1533-position model. Lineage: Eukaryota; Metazoa; Chordata; Lepidosauria; Squamata; Tropiduridae. The record is from RNAcentral.